AACUUUCAACAAUGGAUCUCUAGGUUCUCGCAUCGAUGAAGAACGUAGCAAAUUGCGAUAACUAGUGUGAAUUGCAUUUUCAGUGAAUCAUCGAGUCUUUGAACGCAUCUUGCACUCUAGGGUAUUCCCUAGAGUACGCCUGUUUCAGUGACAG
RNAcentral lists this ribosomal RNA (154 nucleotides) under Backusella variabilis. RNAcentral describes it as "5.8S ribosomal RNA". It matches the Rfam family "5.8S ribosomal RNA". Rfam says of the family: 5.8S ribosomal RNA (5.8S rRNA) is a component of the large subunit of the eukaryotic ribosome. It is transcribed by RNA polymerase I as part of the 45S precursor that also contains 18S and 28S rRNA. Functionally, it is thought that 5.8S rRNA may be involved in ribosome translocation. RNAcentral also lists the same sequence under 1 other name. The record is from RNAcentral. Lineage: Eukaryota; Fungi; Mucoromycota; Mucoromycetes; Mucorales; Backusellaceae.